Non-coding RNA from Triticum aestivum (bread wheat), 96 nucleotides. Lineage: Eukaryota; Viridiplantae; Streptophyta; Magnoliopsida; Poales; Poaceae. The record is from Rfam.
UGGUGGCACCAACCGGGACUAAAGGGAUGCAUUGGUACUGGUUCGUGACACCAACUAGGACCAAUGCCCCCCUUUAGUCCCGGUUGGUGCCACGAA